GAUGAACGCUGGCGGCGUGCCUAAUACAUGCAAGUCGAGCGAACAGACGAGGAGCUUGCUCCUUUGAUGUUAGCGGCGGACGGGUGAGUAACACGUAGGUAACCUACCUAUAAGACUGGGAUAACUUCGGGAAACCGGAGCUAAUACCGGAUAAUAUUUCGAACCGCAUGGUUCGAUAGUGAAAGAUGGCUUUGCUAUCACUUAUAGAUGGACCUGCGCCGUAUUAGCUAGUUGGUAAGGUAACGGCUUACCAAGGCAACGAUACGUAGCCGACCUGAGAGGGUGAUCGGCCACACUGGAACUGAGAAACGGUCCAGACUCCUACGGGAGGCAGCAGUAGGGAAUCUUCCGCAAUGGGCGAAAGCCUGACGGAGCAACGCCGCGUGAGUGAUGAAGGUCUUCGGAUCGUAAAACUCUGUUAUUAGGGAAGAACAAACGUGUAAGUAACUGUGCACGUCUUGACGGUACCUAAUCAGAAAGCCACGGCUAACUACGUG
This 497-nucleotide ribosomal RNA is filed under the name uncultured bacterium. RNAcentral's name for it is "partial 16S ribosomal RNA". It matches the Rfam family "Bacterial small subunit ribosomal RNA", at positions 28 to 507 of the family's 1533-position model. The record is from RNAcentral.